UAGCCCAAGGAGAUAAAUGUAAUGAGAACACAUAACUCAUGGCUCAGAGAACAGAUUUCCUGCGGGAGCUCUGUCUCUCUGACCCCAGCACUCUAUUUCCUGUUGUAAAGAGCGAGAACAGAACUGGAUGCGCCCUUUUGAACAGAGAGAAGAACAAAGUCAAGGGAAGCUGGGAUUUCCAAGUUUCCCAUGUCUUUUGAAGAGAAGCUUUGCUAGAAAUGUCACUCACUCGCCUCAUGCUGGCCCAUGUGUGGGCCACCUCUCGCAAACCAGGUCUGGGCCACCAAAGGGCCGUCAUUCUUUAUGGUAUGUUGGCCAAGUGCACUGUGUGGGCCAGAACCAGGCCAGACCAAUUUUGCUAUUUGGGAGUGCUCUGGACUUAUUACUAUCUCCAUCCUGCUAUUGCCUGAGUGACCUGUGGCUAGCUUGUCAUCUCUUCAUACUGACUCCAGCCACUGCAUCUCCUCCGAACCCAGCGUUCUUUACUCGUCCCACCAGAGUUUCCUGGCUACACUCAUCAGUCACUGCCAACCUUCACUGCCAUUAUCUGCGCUGCCCUGCCACCUCCAGUUCUUCAGCUGUACCACCUCGGAUACAAACCUCACUGUCAGACUGCACCAGCAUAGUGAUAUUGUCUGUUUUUCUGUUGCAAUAAAGACGGUGAUCUGUAUUGACCCAGAUGGCAGGUAUCAGCCUGUUUCUCUCUCACCUCCACGUGAGACAGCUGACAUAACACUAUCUGCCUUACUGUAUUUAGCUCAUAAUUCUUCAAGUUGUGUGGAAGGCAUGAUCUGGUUAUUAAUACUAUUUUAUGUUAGUACAUUUUCUGAUCGGUGCACUAUAUCUGCUAGGGUAAAUUUAUUUAUUUUUUGUUAUUGACCCGUGGAUCAAAGAGCUAGAGUAAAUACCUAUAUUACAUUCAUCCUUUGUAAAAAUGUUUUCUAUGACCGCAACCUUAUUUGCCAUGUUGUCGUCCUGCUGUUGGCACAUGGGAGUCACACUGCAUGACUGUAUGACAGUUAUUAACUUGGAUCCUCUCUUUUUUUCUUGCAGUGUCUCUCUGACUGAAAUCAUAUCAGUAUGCCGAACCAAACCAAUUAAAUUUCCAAAAGCCUCAGUCUUUAUUGCAUUAAUCUUAAUGUCUCAAAUACAAAACACAAGAUUAUACAAGAUUAUAUAUAUCAUUUUCUACACAUUUCUGA
Molecule: long non-coding RNA, 1202 nt
Organism: Monopterus albus (swamp eel)
Lineage: Eukaryota; Metazoa; Chordata; Actinopteri; Synbranchiformes; Synbranchidae
Exons: 3
Source: RefSeq, a predicted model, not a curated record